AGGGUGUAAAACGCUGCGGGCUUGGUGUUGGGGGUCCUUAGUGGGCGCCCAGUGCCGGAGAGAAGUUGUUAAGCCUGCUGCUUGGGGAGUAUGUCCGCAAGGAUGAAACUUAAAGGAAUUGGCGGGGGAGCACCGCAACGGGAGGAGCGUGCGGUUCAAUUGGAUUCAACGCCGAGAAACUCACCAGGAGCGACGGAUAUAUGAAGGUCAAGCUGAUGACUUUACCUGAUUUUUCCGAGAGGUGGUGCAUGGCGUAGACGUCU
RNAcentral lists this ribosomal RNA (263 nucleotides) under uncultured archaeon. Its description in RNAcentral is "partial 16S ribosomal RNA". It matches the Rfam family "Archaeal small subunit ribosomal RNA", at positions 748 to 1009 of the family's 1478-position model. The record is from RNAcentral.